UCGCCAUUGGUAUUGCCUUCGGACCAAGUAGCCCCGAGUCCAUCACCUCGCCGCCACAAGGAGAAUUCCCAAAGCUUGGAUCCCACCCCUCUCUCAUCGCAUGGUGAUCCAUGCUUCUCCGGACUACCAUUCAAUCGUGAGAGUCCUGAUCUCGCAACAGCAUACCGUGGGGGGUCCCCGGAGCCUGUCACUUCACCUACAACAUCUGUUGGUUUCAACGAAGAUAUUGAUAUGUGUGAUAUUGAGGUUGACAAUAGUCUUCACCAAUCUGAGGGCACUGAUCCAUCUGUUAGAGCAGCAAUAGAAAGGGCAACUAAAAAAUUCAGAUCCCAAUGUUGGAAAGAAUUUGAACCAGUACUCGAA
Long non-coding RNA from Panicum virgatum (switchgrass), 363 nucleotides. RefSeq lists it as uncharacterized. NCBI's taxonomy places the organism in Eukaryota, Viridiplantae, Streptophyta, Magnoliopsida, Poales, Poaceae. The record is from RefSeq and is a predicted model, not a curated record. The transcript is spliced from 3 exons.